This 920-nucleotide ribosomal RNA is filed under the name Coronopapilla mangrovei. RNAcentral describes it as "LSU rRNA". It matches the Rfam family "Eukaryotic large subunit ribosomal RNA", at positions 38 to 962 of the family's 3401-position model. The record is from RNAcentral. Lineage: Eukaryota; Fungi; Ascomycota; Dothideomycetes; Zopfiaceae.
UCAUAUCAAUAAGCGGAGGAAAAGAAACCAACAGGGAUUGCCCCAGUAACGGCGAGUGAAGCGGCAAGAGCUCAAAUUUGGAAUCUGGCCCCUUUUAGGGACCCGAGUUGUAAUUUGUAGAGGGCGCUUUGGCGAUAGGCUGCGGCCCAAGUUCCUUGGAACAGGAUGUCGUAGAGGGUGAGAGUCCCGUACGCGGCCGCGCGCCUUCGCCUUGUAAAGCCCCUUCGACGAGUCGAGUUGUUUGGGAAUGCAGCUCUAAGUGGGAGGUAAAUCUCUUCUAAAGCUAAAUAACGGCCAGAGACCGAUAGCGCACAAGUAGAGUGAUCGAAAGAUGAAAAGCACUUUGGAAAGAGAGUCAAAAAGCACGUGAAAUUGUUGAAAGGGAAGCGCUUGCGGCCAGACAUGCCCGCGGUCGCUCAUCCGGACCCCCCUAAUUGUCCGGUGCAGUCUCCCGUGAGCAGGCCAGCAUCGGUCUGGGCGGUUGGACAAAGGCCUCGGGAAUGUAGCUCCCCCCCCGGGGAGUGUUAUAGCCCGGGGCGCAAUGCAGCCAGCCGAGACCGAGGCCCGCGCGUCGUGCUACGAUGCUGGCGUAAUGGCCGCAAGCGGCCCGUCUUGAAACACGGACCAAGGAGUCUAACAUCCAUGCGAGUGUUUGGGUGUCAAGCCCGAGCGCGCAGUGAGAGCGAAUGGAGGUGGGAACCCCCCCGGGGGCGCACCAUCGACCGAUCCUGAUGUCCUCGGAUGGAUUUGAGUAAGAGCAUGGCUGUUGGGACCCGAAAGAUGGUGAACUAUGCCUGGAUAGGGUGAAGCCAGAGGAAACUCUGGUGGAGGCUCGCAGCGGUUCUGACGUGCAAAUCGAUCGUCAAAUCUGGGCAUAGGGGCGAAAGACUAAUCGAACUAUCUAGUAGCUGGUUCCUGCC